UCAUAGCUCAGUUGGUAAAGAAUCUGCCUGCAAUGCAGGAGACCCAGGUUCGAUUCUUGGGUUGUGAA
RNAcentral lists this transfer RNA (68 nucleotides) under Bos taurus (domestic cattle). It matches the Rfam family "tRNA". Rfam says of the family: Transfer RNA (tRNA) molecules are approximately 80 nucleotides in length. The record is from Rfam by way of RNAcentral. Lineage: Eukaryota; Metazoa; Chordata; Mammalia; Artiodactyla; Bovidae. RNAcentral also lists the same sequence under 3 other names.